RNAcentral lists this ribosomal RNA (492 nucleotides) under uncultured bacterium. Its description in RNAcentral is "partial 16S ribosomal RNA". It matches the Rfam family "Bacterial small subunit ribosomal RNA", at positions 29 to 507 of the family's 1533-position model. The record is from RNAcentral.
AGUGAACGCUGGCGGUAGGCCUAACACAUGCAAGUCGAACGGCAGCACAGUAAGAGCUUGCUCUUACGGGUGGCGAGUGGCGUACGGGUGAGGAAUACAUCGGAAUCUACUUUUUCGUGGGGGAUAACGUAGGGAAACUUACGCUAAUACCGCAUACGACCUACGGGUGAAAGCAGGGGAUCUUCGGACCUUGCGCGAUUGAAUGAGCCGAUGUCGGAUUAGCUAGUUGGCGGGGUAAAGGCCCACCAAGGCGACGAUCCGUAGCUGGUCUGAGAGGAUGAUCAGCCACACUGGAACUGAGACACGGUCCAGACUCCUACAGGAGGCAGCAGUGGGGAAUAUUGGACAAUGGGCGCAAGCCUGAUCCAGCCAUACCGCGUGGGUGAAGAAGGCCUUCGGGUUGUAAAGCCCUUUUGUUGGGAAAGAAAAGCAGCAGGUUAAUACCCCGCUGUUCUGACGGUACCCAAAGAAUAAGCGCCGGCUAACUUCGUG